UUUACUCCAUGAUAAGACAUGAAAAGAAGAUUGACAUGCAUCAUGUUGAAAAGAGUUGGUGGUAACAGGUGAUUUGUCACAGGCAAGACUUCAGAGAGGGAGCCUACUGUAACUCUUUGACUUGUCAUUAAAGGAAAAUUAAGUCAUUAAAGGAAAAAUCCACCAUGAACAACUUGCAUAUUGAUCUUUAUAAUUAACAGGUGGCAUCCAGGAUUCAUUUUGUAGUGAAAAUUUUGAGUUUACUUUUUAGUUUAGACUUCUUUCAUUGACCUGUUGGUCAUUUUUCACUUUGGUUUCUUGUAUUACCCACAUUCAAGUUCGACAACAUACUAAUAUUGGUGCCAGUAAAAUUUAGCUCCCGAUUGACCUAUCUGUACACUCUGUUCACAUUAAUUACAUCAUUAACAAACUUCAGUUUUCAUGCUAAUACCACCGUCAAGGCCAUUGCAUGCAUCAUCUCACAGAUCACAAUAAAACAUGAUGAAAACUGAUUAUACUGUAGCUGUGUUGUUUGUGCAAUAGUGAAAAUGAUGCCAAGUUGUAUUUCCAUUUUCCUUUUACUUUGAAAUUGCCCUUAAACUUAGUUAUCUGACUAGACAUGCUUUCAAAGAAAACAGAAACAACACCUGAGUCUAUUGAAAGCCAAGCUCAACUGAUUAAACAGGUGGAAUCAGAUGUGGUCUUGCUUGAUUGGAAUGAAAACCUACACCCACACCGGCCCUUUGCUUGGAGACUGGACAUCCCUGGUAUAGUCAGUUUAACAACCUCCAGAUGUGCUCGAUCUAAGAUGUUGAGUGAUCUUAAACAAAUGCUUGUCUAUAUACAGCAUAACUCAUUUAAAGGAUAGCCCAGAAGAAGCUCAUUAAAGCCUACAGGAAGUUGUCACAGCAGUGACACCCAGACAACUUCCAGGAUCCUGAAGAGAAGAACAAGGCUGAGAAGAAGUUCAUAGACAUCGCACAGGCCAAGGAAGUGCUCACUGAGCCAGAAACGAGGAGUUCAUUUGACAAGGGUGAAGACCCCCUGGACCCUGAGAGCAAGCACGGAGAAGGCCAUCACCACUUCCAUGGGGCCUGGGAGAGUUUCCAGGGCUUUAACCCUUUUGGCUCUGGACUGUUCAACUUUAAAUUCAACUUUAACUGAGAUCAUCCAGGACGACAUCAGUCUGAUCUGAAUAUAUACCAUCAGGCAUCCAGCGAGAAGUGUAACCUGCUGAACCUAUUUGACACUAACUGCCAUAGAUGUGGCUACAGAAGCCACUUUGGCAUGAAGAUUCAUCGCAUGCUGUUGAAUAUUCUCAGACUUGCCAAGCUGAGCUAAGUGGUAUUAUAUAAAGUAAUUAUUUCAGGGACCAUCAGAGUGUGGGGGUUCAUUCCCAAGCAACCAACUAUCCUAAAACUAUUGUGUGUGUGUGUGUGUGUGUGUAUAGGAGACUGCACUAUUUUUCUAUCAAUUAAAUAAUGCUGCAUUGUAAAUACACAAUUAAAGAUAUUACGUAUUUAAUUAAAAAGAAAGUGACAUUAUUCUCAGAUUUCGCUGUUGUAAUGCAAAUCACUAUUGGAGGAUUCCUUUAGUUGAACUUUUCAUUUUGUAUAGCACUUACAGACAUCGUCACAAAGCAUCUGGACUGACAGAUGUAGAUUUAGAUCCCUAUCGAGCAAGCUGGAGGUGAAAAACUCCCCGAGACAUCAUGAAGAAGAAACCUAAGAGAGGAAGCAAACUCAAAAGGGUCCUGUUGACACUGGAUAGUGGGAUUACAAAUCAUUACCAGUAUGCAGAUGUAAU
Molecule: long non-coding RNA, 1785 nt
Organism: Ictalurus punctatus (channel catfish)
Lineage: Eukaryota; Metazoa; Chordata; Actinopteri; Siluriformes; Ictaluridae
Exons: 3
Source: RefSeq, a predicted model, not a curated record